GUGGGGAAUCUUAGACAAUGGGCGCAAGCCUGAUCUAGCCAUGCCGCGUGAGCGAUGAAGGCCUUAGGGUUGUAAAGCUCUUUCGCUGGGGAAGAUAAUGACUGUACCCAGUAAAGAAGCCCCGGCUAACUCCGUGCCAGCAGCCGCGGUAAUACGGAGGGGGCUAGCGUUAUUCGGAAUUACUGGGCGUAAAGCGCACGUAGGCGGACCAGAAAGUUGGGGGUGAAAUCCCGGGGCUCAACCUCGGAACUGCCUUCAAAACUCCUGGUCUUGAGUUCGAGAGAGGUGAGUGGAAUUCCGAGUGUAGAGGUGAAAUUCGUAGAUAUUCGGAGGAACACCAGUGGCGAAGGCGGCUCACUGGCUCGAUACUGACGCUGAGGUGCGAAAGCGUGGGGAGCAAACAGGAUUAGAAACCCGGGUAGUCC
RNAcentral lists this ribosomal RNA (425 nucleotides) under uncultured bacterium. RNAcentral describes it as "partial 16S ribosomal RNA". It matches the Rfam family "Bacterial small subunit ribosomal RNA", at positions 354 to 796 of the family's 1533-position model. The record is from RNAcentral.